ACAAAACAGCUCCUUGGAAAAGAUUAACUAUCUAAGCCUCAUUUGUAAAAUGGAAACAACACCUCCUCACGAUUGCUGUGAAGAUGAAGUAAAGUGCUUGCAAACAGUCCAUCACACAGCAAACCAUCCGUCAUCAGGAUAAAAUGCUUCCCCAAGAAUUCAAUUUUCGGGCACCCCCACUCUAAUUCUCUCAUAGGACCUCGCACUCUAUAGGUAAUCUCUGGUUUACGGAUUACUCUGGGUUCUUUAAACCUCUCCUUGGUCAUUCGUCCUGUUAAC
This 279-nucleotide long non-coding RNA is filed under the name Pan troglodytes (chimpanzee). RNAcentral's name for it is "long non-coding RNA NONPTRT004028". The record is from RNAcentral. Lineage: Eukaryota; Metazoa; Chordata; Mammalia; Primates; Hominidae.